AAAUUUAAACAAAAAAACUCUACUUUUGUUCUACCUACCUUUCUGUUUGUAUUCUCAUUCUAUUAAUUAAGUUCUGCUUCUUGCAAUUGUUUUCCCAGCAAGAUUGCGGCACUCACAUCUUGAAAUCCAAAUUCAAGAUUUUAAAGAAUUUUCUUAGCUCGAUCACUUUUAUGGCUUUUUCUGCUGUUGCAUCUGCAGUGCAACAAUUGGCAACCUGCUAACUGAGGAAGCCAUAUACCGAUGGGGUGUGGAGGAGCAAGUUGAUCGUCUGCAAACAGAGCUCAAAUGGAUGCAAAGAUACUUAAUGGACUUAGAGACAAAACAAUCAAAGGAUGAGAGGAUUCGUCUUUGGGUUGCUGAAAUCAGAGAGCUUGCUUAUGAUGCUGAGGAUGUUGUCGAGGAAUUUGCUCUCAAGAUUGGAUCCAAAAACAAAGGAGGUCUUCCGAGUUGUAUUAAAAGAUCAGCCUGCUGUUUGAAAGAGGGAUGGGCACUCCACAAAACCAGGUCAAAAAUGGAGAAAAUCAUAGAAAGAAUCAACGACUUGGUCCGACGACUACAGGCCUACGGAGUAAAGGAAUUAAAGGACAGAGGAGAAGAAUCAAGUUCUUCAACUGAAAGACGAGAAUCAAGGCGGCCUUAUCCACAUAUUAUGGAUGAUAAUACUGUUGGACUAAUAUAUAUAGUUCUGGAGUGCGGGAAAAGAAUGUCAAAGUAAAACCAUUGCAAGAUAUGCUAUUGGAAGAACCCGAGCUUUCUAGAUUAGGAAGGAUAAUGAGACGCCACUGACCUGUAUUCGGAUGUAGCCUUGCAUUUACAUGUUUGGUUUGCAGUGACCAUUCAUAAAUUUUGCUGUGACUACCCUGUUGCUAGUUCUUUUUUCCUACUUCGAUCUGCUCAAGUCUUUUAUGAUAUAAUUAAAUGUAAAAAUAUAUGUAAUAGUAGAAGCCAAGACAGGAUGUUGUAAAAUUGAUCAUUUUGUUUUUAAUGACCAUUUGUUCUCAUCUUUUUUCAUUUUUCAUAAAUGUGUCAAAUAUAUAUUUAUUGAAUAUAUUUAUGCUGGACACAUAUCCCAAUGUGGUACACUAAA
Molecule: long non-coding RNA, 1087 nt
Organism: Gossypium raimondii (Peruvian cotton)
Lineage: Eukaryota; Viridiplantae; Streptophyta; Magnoliopsida; Malvales; Malvaceae
Exons: 3
Source: RefSeq, a predicted model, not a curated record